UUUUCAAUGCCCUAAAAAUUAUAUUAUAUCAUAUCCAAACAUUGAUUUCCAGUUGUUUCCUACAAAUAUUUGUCCCAUUUUGUAUAAUGAGCCAAUGGCAAAAGCAUGAGAAGUUAUUGAUUAAAAGUUAUAAAACAAAGAAAUCAACGGUAGAUUUUUUCAUACACAGCUCUGGAAAAAAAAUGGGACGCAUAUAUAGGAGGGUUUCAAAUAUAUAUUAAAUAAAUUUACAAUACCUUGGGUUUACAUCUAUGGGAUACAAGACUUGAUAAUGUCCUUAAAUUGGGAUAAAUGAAUUAAAACGUCAAUUUGCGUACCAACAUGUGAGAAAUCAUGGAGGUGGCCAUUUUUUUCAGCAUAGUGCAAAAGUAACUUUAUCAAUAUUAUUAACCUUUCAUAAAUAGGAUUUUUUUUAGUUAAUAUUGAUUUUUUUCUAACUAAAGGAUCAUGUUAGUCGUGUUCAAUGCACAAUCGCAAUUUCAAUUACCAUGUAAAACCUAAAUUAAAAUCAUGUGUAGCAGUUUGUUUUGGUUUGUCUUCGUCUCUACUUUCUGUUUAAAGUUCCAUAUUCCUACGCACAAUUACAAUGAUUGAUUUUUUAUGAUGAAUAAAAUAUUAUUUAAUAAAUCAUACAAAAAUUCACAUUAAUAUAAUUUUUGAUUGGAAACGAUCAUAAAUUCUAUAAAUUAUCGGUAUUUUUGUAGGGAAUAUUUAGGCGUAGUGAUAUCCUGAUUUUAGCGGAAGUUGUUGACAGGCUGAUCACUGAUCUUCACAAAGCGAAACCAAAUGAAAUUUAGUAAAACAGUUAUUAAUAUUUGAAAAACAGAUUGACUUGUGUACACUGAGGUACCAUAUUUAGGAAGCACUUCAAGUCAACAGACAUCUGGUAAAGUAAAGAAAAAACAGAGAAAAUCCUUGACAGUUGAAAGUGACACAGAGAUAGAUGAACCAGUGGUAACAACAACCAGUAAAAUUGCUAAAAGAUCAAGACGCAAAUGUUCUGGACCACAAUUUGUAGGGAGAGAAAUAGUACAUGAAUGGGUGGAGGAAAACAGCAACAGAAAGUGGUAUAAAGGCAGGGUUAUUUCUGUUAUCAAGAAUAAAGAUGGAGACAAAGAUGCUGUAUAUGAAGUUCUAUAUGAAGACUGUGAUGAACCUUAUGAGAUUGAUCAUUUGCUAGAGGAUUUUACAAAUUCCUCUUUGAAAUUGAUUGAUUUAUAGAUUUUUAGAAGACAGAAGAUAUACAGGGCAUUUUUUCUACAAAAGGACUUACAUUUGGUAUUAUAUUACUUUUAUUUGACAUUUUAUAUUUA
Mytilus trossulus (common blue mussel) is the source of this 1313-nucleotide long non-coding RNA. RefSeq lists it as uncharacterized. NCBI's taxonomy places the organism in Eukaryota, Metazoa, Mollusca, Bivalvia, Mytilida, Mytilidae. The record is from RefSeq and is a predicted model, not a curated record. The transcript has 4 exons.